UACGGGGGGGGCAAGCGUUGUUCGGAAUUACUGGGCGUAAAGGGCUCGUAGGCGGCCAACUAAGUCAGACGUGAAAUCCCUCGGCUUAACCGGGGAACUGCGUCUGAUACUGGAUGGCUUGAGUUUGGGAGAGGGAUGCGGAAUUCCAGGUGUAGCGGUGAAAUGCGUAGAUAUCUGGAGGAACACCGGUGGCGAAGGCG
RNAcentral lists this ribosomal RNA (200 nucleotides) under uncultured bacterium. RNAcentral's name for it is "partial 16S ribosomal RNA". It matches the Rfam family "Bacterial small subunit ribosomal RNA", at positions 524 to 723 of the family's 1533-position model. The record is from RNAcentral.